RNAcentral lists this small nucleolar RNA (50 nucleotides) under Pyrobaculum neutrophilum V24Sta. RNAcentral's name for it is "PNEsR124". The record is from RNAcentral. Lineage: Archaea; Thermoproteati; Thermoproteota; Thermoprotei; Thermoproteales; Thermoproteaceae.
GUGACGAAAGUCCCCGUGUCUGACGGGUGAGGAGUUCACGUACCGGCUGA